This 83-nucleotide transfer RNA is filed under the name Oryctolagus cuniculus (rabbit). It matches the Rfam family "tRNA". Rfam says of the family: Transfer RNA (tRNA) molecules are approximately 80 nucleotides in length. Their secondary structure includes four short double-helical elements and three loops (D, anti-codon, and T loops). Lineage: Eukaryota; Metazoa; Chordata; Mammalia; Lagomorpha; Leporidae. The record is from Rfam by way of RNAcentral.
GGUGCUGUGGCACAGUGGGUUAAUGCACUGGCCUGAAGUGCCGGCAUCCCAUAUCGACACCAGUUCGAGACCGGGCUGCUCCA